CCUACGGGUGGCAGCAGUGGGGAAUCUUGCGCAAUGGGCGAAAGCCUGACGCAGCCACGCCGUGUGUGUGAUGAAGGCCUUCGGGUCGUAAAGCACUGUCGGGACCCAAGAUGGCGAGGGAUCCUAACACGUCCCAAGCUGACGGUAAGUCCAAAGGAAGCACCGGCUAACUCUGUGCCAGCAGCCGCGGUAAGACAGAGGGUGCAAGCGUUGUUCGGAAUUAUUGGGCGUAAAGCGCACGUAGGCGGCGAGGUGUGUCGGGUGUGAAAGCCCGGGGCUCAACCCCGGAAGUGCACUCGAAACUACCUUGCUUGAGUCCCGGAGAGGAUGGCGGAAUUCCUGGUGUAGAGGUGAAAUUCGUAGAUAUCAGGAGGAACAUCUGUGGCGAAGGCGGCUAUCUGGACGGUGACUGACGCUGAGGUGCGAAAGCGUGGGGAGCA
Molecule: ribosomal RNA, 440 nt
Filed under: uncultured bacterium
Lineage: Bacteria
Description: bacterial SSU rRNA
Rfam family: Bacterial small subunit ribosomal RNA
Source: RNAcentral